CUACGGGCGGCAGCAGUGGGGAAUAUUGGACAAUGGGGGAAACCCUGAUCCAGCAAUGCCGCGUGUGUGAAGAAGGCCUGCGGGUUGUAAAGCACUUUCGGUUGGGAGGACUGCUUCUAGCACUAAUAUUGUUGGAAGUUGACGUUACCUUCAGAAGAAGCACCGGCUAACUCCGUGCCAGCAGCCGCGGUAAUACGGAGGGUGCAUGCGUUAAUCGGAAUUACUGGGCGUAAAGCGUGCGUAGGUGGCUAGAUCAGUCGGGUGUGAAAGCCCCGGGCUUAACCUGGGAACUGCAUCCGAUACUGUCUAGCUUGAGUACAGGAGAGGAGAGUGGAAUUCCACAUGUAGCGGUGAAAUGCGUAGAUAUGUGGAGGAACACCAAUGGCGAAGGCAGCUCUCUGGCCUGAUACUGACGCUGAGGUGCGAAAGCGUGGGGAGCAAACAGGAUUAGAUACCCGGGUAGUC
RNAcentral lists this ribosomal RNA (465 nucleotides) under uncultured bacterium. RNAcentral's name for it is "partial 16S ribosomal RNA". It matches the Rfam family "Bacterial small subunit ribosomal RNA", at positions 339 to 795 of the family's 1533-position model. The record is from RNAcentral.